This 66-nucleotide transfer RNA is filed under the name Homarus gammarus (European lobster). RNAcentral describes it as "tRNA-Glu". The record is from RNAcentral. Lineage: Eukaryota; Metazoa; Arthropoda; Malacostraca; Decapoda; Nephropidae.
AAUUUUUAGAAGUUAGUACUUCAGUUCUACAACGAAAAUGUAGCGUGUUAUUUACACUAUAAAAAA